UUCCUUCACUGCUUCACACGAAACCCUAGCCUCCUUCUUCCUUUGGCUUGAAGCUUCUACCGUAACGUUUGGAGGAUUAUAUUCAUGAAUUGUAGUGAUUUGGAAGCCAAAAUUUCGUCAAUUUAGUUUGAAUUUUAUCAUCUGAUGUAGAUAUCUAUGGUUACGUGAUUGUGUGAAUUGCAUCGUGAUCGAUUUAUGGAGUUUGUUAGGUAAUGGUUCCAACUACCAUAGGUGAAUGCAAUACUAUUGAUGCUAAACAUAGUUUUUGGAAGUGGAAGUCCUUUCCAGAAUGUUGAACUUGCUUUCUUUUAUGGUGUUGGGGAAGCAGUUAUGUGUUAAAGAGAAGCAGUUAGAUGUGAGAUGCAAAUGACACACGAAGAAUGGAGCACUACCUAAGAUGACAGUCACAUCGACAAGUGGCUACAACGUUGAUUAAGCAGUUCCAUUUGUUAACCUUCUGGGGUAGCCCAGUUGGCCAGCCUCACCCAGCCUCUUCUUGAGGUCACCGGUUCGAUUCCCGGCAAUGCCCUAAUGGGGUGUUGGGGCUCUUCACCGUGGGUAAUCACCGUCAGGCAGCUAUGGGGCUAAGCUAGCUUGCAGAGUUGCAAUACUCCGGCGGAUGGGAGGUCCGUGCAACUACCCCCCCUCCAUUUGUUGAGUGGGUCUGGAUAGGCCAUAGCCCAGAACAAUCGCGGAAUCGCCUGCUGGAAGAUUUACAUUUACACGUGGCAACAUAUUUGGUAUAGUAAUUCUUCAAGGCGUCAACCUUUUCUUUCUGUAUGGCGUGGCAAUUGCAGGUUAGAUUAAGGGCGGGAUUAGGUGUAAUCAAUGUCGUUCUCAAGGAUAACGUAGCUACUGAGACAUGGCCGAUUUAGACGGGAUGAUAUUUGUAGACACUUUUACAGGGUUGCUUUACCCGUUUCUACUUGCUUUGGUCAACUCAAGUUGGGUGUAUGGAAACAAAGGUUGUACAUGUGCAUUUGUAGCUGUACAUGUUUGACCCAUAUCAUGAAUUAGGUAUAAUGUAAUAUGGUAUCUAUUUAAAUUGUUUAUCAAGUAUUGCUAAAGUUUGAAACACUUGAUGAAAGGAACACUUUUAAUGCACUUAUGCAAUGAAAGAUGUAUAUUGUUAAUUUGAGAUUAAUAAAAAAUCAUUAGCUGUGAAGCAUGAGUAAGUUGGACACAAUUCUGAUCUCUUAUUACCAAAUUUUAGGGGGUCCCCUUGGAUAAGCAUAGCCAACGCGAUCUUUAUAUAAUAGGAUUUCAGUUUGCAAGUUUUUGUUUUAAGGGUAUUUGUGUCAUCAUUUUGUUUCUUAAACAAUGUUUUCAAAACUAGAUCGGACAUCGAACCGGUAGCCUUACUGGUUCACUUGUCGGGUCGGACUGGUCGAACCGAUAGGAGUGGAUUUGAGAUAUCACAAUAGUUAGUUAAAAAUUUAUAAAUAAAUAUACAAGUUUUUAUAAUAAAAAUAUCCUUUAGUUUGAUUAUGAUUUAUCCAAACAUAUUAAAAUCAAUGGUUAUUAGUAGUUUUUAAUCUUAAAAUAGUUUUUUUUGUAUGUUUCAUUUAUAAAGCAAGUACUUUUGUAUAUUUGAGAUUGUUUUCAUUAUAAUAAAGAUUAAUCCUUCACCAAUAAAAGGUGAUAUACAUUAUAAAAUUCAUAUAAGCACCAUAGAUACAAGAAUCCCAUCUUAGUUAAGCUGGAAAAUCUUACACUCUUUAGUUAUUGGGGGUGAUGAUAAUGUGGUACUAGCUCUAUUUCACCACAGUAAUUAGUGGAUUUUGAAGCAAACGUAGGUCUGCCCAUGUCUAUACUUUCUUGCAGGAACAUUGUGGUAAUGGGUAAUAAUUUUGUUAUUAACUUAUAUGUCUAUGUUUCCUUGUGUAUUGACAAAUUGAAUUAAUCCCUAAGGAAUCAUUGAAGACAAUAAAGGAAGCUUCAAUCAAAUGCUCCAAGAUGCUAUGAUGACCGUCAAGCAUUACGGUCGCGGGUCAGGGUCAGGGGCUACAACACUUGGGAAACCUUUUGCUCAUCCUGCUACCGUGGGUUUGAGAGACAAAGUAUACGAGCUGCUUAGACAAAAUGCAACAAGAUUCUUGCUGGAUGAUGUCUACAGAAACCCCGGCCCCCUUCAGUUUGAGGGGCCAGGUGCUGAUUCCAAAGCUGUCAAGGCAUUUGUUUGGUGAUAAUAAUUUUGUGUACUUAAUGUGUAUAAUUUGUGGUUGGUUAGGUUGGAAACAACAAUCCACUUUUUUUAGUAAUUUAUGUAAUAUGUCAUUUUAUUUGCAUUAA
Long non-coding RNA from Helianthus annuus (common sunflower), 2292 nucleotides. RefSeq lists it as uncharacterized. The transcript is spliced from 7 exons. The record is from RefSeq and is a predicted model, not a curated record. NCBI's taxonomy places the organism in Eukaryota, Viridiplantae, Streptophyta, Magnoliopsida, Asterales, Asteraceae.